GUAGGUGGCAAGCGUUGUCCGGAAUUAUUGGGCGUAAAGCGCGCGCAGGCGGUUCUUUAAGUCUGAUGUGAAAGCCCACGGCUCAACCGUGGAGGGUCAUUGGAAACUGGAGAACUUGAGUACAGAAGAGGAAAGCGGAAUUCCACGUGUAGCGGUGAAAUGCGUAGAGAUGUGGAGGAACACCAGUGGCGAAGGCGGCUUUUCUGGUCUGUAACUGACGCUGAGGCGCGAAAGCGUGGGGAGCAAACAGGGAUUAGAUACCCUGGUAGUCCACGCCGUAAACGAUGAGUGCUAAGUGUAGGGGGUUUCCGCCCCCUUAGUGCUGCAGCUAACGCAUUAAGCACUCCGCCUGGGAGUACGCCGCAAGGCUG
Molecule: ribosomal RNA, 371 nt
Filed under: uncultured organism
Description: partial 16S ribosomal RNA
Rfam family: Bacterial small subunit ribosomal RNA
Source: RNAcentral